GACGAACGCUGGCGGCGUGCCUAAUACAUGCAAGUCGAACGAACUCUGGUAUUGAUUGGUGCUUGCAUCAUGAUUUACAUUUGAGUGAGUGGCGAACUGGUGAGUAACACGUGGGAAACCUGCCCAGAAGCGGGGGAUAACACCUGGAAACAGAUGCUAAUACCGCAUAACAACUUGGACCGCAUGGUCCGAGUUUGAAAGAUGGCUUCGGCUAUCACUUUUGGAUGGUCCCGCGGCGUAUUAGCUAGAUGGUGAGGUAACGGCUCACCAUGGCAAUGAUACGUAGCCGACCUGAGAGGGUAAUCGGCCACAUUGGGACUGAGACACGGCCCAAACUCCUACGGGAGGCAGCAGUAGGGAAUCUUCCACAAUGGACGAAAGUCUGAUGGAGCAACGCCGCGUGAGUGAAGAAGGGUUUCGGCUCGUAAAACUCUGUUGUUAAAGAAGAACAUAUCUGAGAGUAACUGUUCAGGUAUUGACGGUAUUUAACCAGAAAGCCACGGCUAACUACGUGCCAGCAGCCGCGGUAAUACGUAGGUGGCAAGCGUUGUCCGGAUUUAUUGGGCGUAAAGCGAGCGCAGGCGGUUUUUUAAGUCUGAUGUGAAAGCCUUCGGCUCAACCGAAGAAGUGCAUCGGAAACUGGGAAACUUGAGUGCAGAAGAGGACAGUGGAACUCCAUGUGUAGCGGUGAAAUGCGUAGAUAUAUGGAAGAACACCAGUGGCGAAGGCGGCUGUCUGGUCUGUAACUGACGCUGAGGCUCGAAAGUAUGGGUAGCAAACAGGAUUAGAUACCCUGGUAGUCCAUACCGUAAACGAUGAAUGCUAAGUGUUGGAGGGUUUCCGCCCUUCAGUGCUGCAGCUAACGCAUUAAGCAUUCCGCCUGGGGAGUACGGCCGCAAGGCUGAAACUCAAAGGAAUUGACGGGGGCCCGCACAAGCGGUGGAGCAUGUGGUUUAAUUCGAAGCUACGCGAAGAACCUUACCAGGUCUUGACAUACUAUGCAAAUCUAAGAGAUUAGACGUUCCCUUCGGGGACAUGGAUACAGGUGGUGCAUGGUUGUCGUCAGCUCGUGUCGUGAGAUGUUGGGUUAAGUCCCGCAACGAGCGCAACCCUUAUUAUCAGUUGCCAGCAUUAAGUUGGGCACUCUGGUGAGACUGCCGGUGACAAACCGGAGGAAGGUGGGGAUGACGUCAAAUCAUCAUGCCCCUUAUGACCUGGGCUACACACGUGCUACAAUGGAUGGUACAACGAGUUGCGAACUCGCGAGAGUAAGCUAAUCUCUUAAAGCCAUUCUCAGUUCGGAUUGUAGGCUGCAACUCGCCUACAUGAAGUCGGAAUCGCUAGUAAUCGCGGAUCAGCAUGCCGCGGUGAAUACGUUCCCGGGCCUUGUACACACCGCCCGUCACACCAUGAGAGUUUGUAACACCCAAAGUCGGUGGGGUAACCUUUUAGGAACCAGCCGCCUAAGGUG
RNAcentral lists this ribosomal RNA (1471 nucleotides) under Lactobacillus delbrueckii subsp. bulgaricus. RNAcentral describes it as "bacterial SSU rRNA". It matches the Rfam family "Bacterial small subunit ribosomal RNA". Lineage: Bacteria; Bacillati; Bacillota; Bacilli; Lactobacillales; Lactobacillaceae. RNAcentral also lists the same sequence under 1 other name. The record is from RNAcentral.